GAGAGAGACGGGCGGCCAGGACAGGGGCCGGCUGUUUGCAGGGGAGGCAUGUGUGUGGAGAACGCCUAGGAGCACGUGGGUGGCCACGAACCCUGACCGUGCAGGUCGAGAAACUCUUCCAGGAUAGUAUGUGGUGGAUCGUGUCUGCCUAAAAGGUAUGUCCAAGUCCUGACCCCAGGACCUGUGAAGGUGGCCUGAUUUGGAAGGAAGGUUUUGUAGAUGUCCUCAAGUUAAGAUGAGGUCAUCCUGGAUUACAGUGGGCUCUAAAUGCAAUGACUGAUGUUCUUACAAGAGAAAGGAGAGGGAUUUUUUUUUUUGAGACAGAGUUUCACUCUUGUUGCCGAGGCUGGAGUGCGAUGGUGCGAUCUCAGCUCACUGCCACCUCCGCCUCCCGGGUUCAAGCAAUCUCCUGCCUCAGACUCCAGAGUAGCUGGGAUUACAGGUGUCCGCCACCACACCUGGCUAAUUUUUUGUAUUUUUAGUAGAGAUGGGGGUUUCACCAUGUUGGCCAGGCUGGUCUCGAACUCCUGACCUUAGGUGAUCCACCCAUCUCAGCCUCCCAAAAUGCUGGGAUUAGAGGCAUGCAGCACUGUGCCUGGUCAAGGAGAGGGAAUUUUGGACAUAGAUACACGGCAUUUCACACAGGGAGAAACACCACAUGACAAUGGAGGCAGAGAUUUGGAAUGACAUGGCUACAAGGCCAGGGACACCAGGGAUUGCCGCAGCCACCAGAAGCUGGAAGAGGUGAAGACAGAGCCUCCUGCAGAGCUCCCACUCUGCCAACGCCUUGACUUUGCACUUCUGGCCUCCAGGACUGUGUGUGUGUGGGGGGCUGCUUCUGCUGUUUCAGGACGCCCACCUGUGGUGCCGCCUUGCAGCAGCCCUACAGGGUAACAUGCAGGGAAGUGGGAAGUAAGUGGAGACUUGCAGGAUGCAGAAGGUGCAGGUGAAGGUGCUGAGGAGGGAAACAGCGUUCUGGGCAGAGGGCACGGCUGUGCAAAGGCCCUGUUGCACAGACACUGUGAGUGGAGUUUGAGUGUGGCAUGAAGUGACCUAAUAGAACAGAAUCUGCGAAUGCACGGGGUGCACUCAUGGGGGGAUUGGGGGAGUGACUUAGACCACGCACACAGACAAUGUUCUUCACCCGUUUUGAACAGUGAGUCAAUUCUGCCCAUGAGCAAGUCUUCCAGACUGUUGGGCCCUAGACGAAGAACGACCUGCAAGCCGGGAAUUCUCUGCAAAGGACAAUGUCAAAACUCAUCUGAGGCAUCCAUGUCUGUCCUACAGCAAGCUUCCCCGUGACACUGGAGGGACCUAGGCUCCCGGCAGUUUUCAGGAGCCAGCCCUGGGCUAGGGGCUCCACAGUACUUGCAAACAAAGAGUUCCAAAAACCCAAUUUGCAUUCACCCAUGUAAGAAGUGCCUGAUAAGGAAGUAGCGUCUCUAUUUCCUGGGAUGGGGAUUUUUGCUCUGGGGUAUCAGAUAAUAUUAUUUGUAAGCUAGUCAUCACCAUCCUUCGUUUUCUUCUGCCUUAGCAGAUUCAGGUAGAUUUAUGGCACUGACUAUCACUGCUUUAAAGUUAUCAAAAAUCACUUUAAAAGAAAAUGACGAGAUUGCAGAAAAGUGGAGUUUAUUGAAAAUCUGACUGUGGUCCCUUGAAGUUACUGCUUACAGGAUCAGCUGACUUUGGAGAGAAAGCCAUUAUCAGAAUCAAGCAGCAAAUUACUGGCCCCAGAGUUCCUAGCUUGCUACAAUAUCAGCUGUCUAAACCAAAACAAAGCAUUUUGUUGAAGCGGGGAAAAAAAGGCAGAUCAAAGAGUAGCUCAUCCACGUGUCAGUUAGAUUAGCAUUUGAAAUUCCUUGUGAAUGUAUCCACAUGUUUAUGACAGGCAUGGUGUUCAGCUUUAGCAGCAUUAUGGGGAGUUACGAAAUUCUCUGUGUAAAAAUAGCGAGGUCAUGAGGAAACCACUCUUGCUGUGUAAGUCCUGACAAGCCAUGCCAACACCGUCACGCUGGGACUGGCCUUCGGAUGGCACGGGGAGGGCAGAGUCACGCAGGCACACGUGACACGCCCUUGCUCUGCGGCCGGUGGGAUCCCUGGUAGCUUCGCAGUCAUGUGGGGCUUAGUCACAGGAGCAUAGGUCAGGUCCUGCUGAGCCCCCUUUCCAAGUGUGCGGUGCGCAAGCCGCCCAACCCAGGGGCCGGCAGCUGGGACAGGGCGAGCAGUGGGCUGCAGGGAGGAAGUGGGGAAGGCCUGGGGGCAGACGUGCCUGGGCGAGGGCCUUCCUAUUCCUGCUCUCCCUGUCUGCUCUGAGGAUGUGGGCCCUGACCUCCUUAUCUGUAAAGCCCUGAUGGUGGAUGCAGCUUCCUGGAGCUGCUGUGGAAACCACUGGUUAAUAUUUUACAGGUCGCUGGGUUACAAACUGUCAAGUCAGAGGAACACUACACGCUGGCACCAGCUGCUCCUCUGUAGCCACCCGUAUGUCCCUCCUGAGCCGUGGCAGGGAGUGACACCUUUGCCAAUACCACCAUCCACAGGGUCAACAUGACCCCGGGCCCUGGUCUUAGUAACUAGAGGAAACACACCGACUUCAGGCAUUGCUCACAGCCAGAGCUGGUGUUAACUGAAGAAUGUUUUAAUUCACCUGCCGAGGAACUCACACAUUCCUUGCCAGCAGGCACAAUGGCUCUUGAUAGCCUGUGUGCAGGGAACAAAUGUGUUGGCCCCAUGCUCAGGCCAUGCGUACACAUAAGAGCUGUCGUCUGGGUCUUGGCUAAAAUAAACUGAAUCUUCCCGAAAACACAGGUUCCUAUUACGGAGUCCAUGAUAGGAAAGAUGUUCAGCUCUGCUGCUAUCAUGGGGAAGUAGAGUGGUUGAUCUGAAAUCUCCAGAUUCUAAUCAAGGAGAAGAAUGCUGUGCUGUGGCCACAGACCCCACCGUGGUCUCAAAGAAAACCUGGAUCAGAGCCCAUCUUCUGAUCAGUGCCACACCUUCACAUGGGUGUGCAGCAUUUUACUGGGUGACUGCCUUUCAGAACCUUCUGGAAUUUUCCAGAUCCUUCCAGAUUGCAAUAAAGAAAAAGAAUGCAAUGUGUGGUCAUUAAUCUCAGCAUGGUCCUGCAGAAGAACUGGCUCUGAGCUGAUCUCCUAAGGGGCCCCACGUCUUCACAUGGGUGUGUAGUAUUUUACUGGGCAACUGCCUUUCAGAACCUUCUGGAAUUUUCCAGAGCCUUCCAGGUUCUAAUCAAGGAAAAGAAGGCAAUGUGUGGUCAUUAACCUCACUGUGGUCCCUCAGAAGACCUGGCUCUGAGCUGUCUCCUGAGGGGCCCCACAUCUUCACAUGAGUGUGCAGCACUUUACUGGGCAACUGCCUUUCAGAACCUUCUGGAACUUUCCAGAGUCUUCCAGAUUCUAAUCAAGAAAGAGAAUGCAAUGUGUGGUCAUUAACCUCACCAUGGUCUCACGAAAGACCUGGCUCUGAGCUGAUCUCCUAAAGGGCCCCAUGUUUUCACAUGGGCAUGCAGCAUUUUACCGGGUGAGUCCUUAACUUCGCAGGACACAUUAGAAAGACAAAGGAUGCUAGCAAGUGACAAUUAUAUUUAAAGAAAAGGGCAGGAGACACAGCAUGAAACAGAAUGAUGCAUUGAACAGAACUAGAUUUGGGCUCAGGAGAGCUUGGAGAGCAGCCAGCAUCGACGGGGCGCUUACUAUGGGCUAGGUGCUCAUGCAACAGGUCAGAAGUAUAGCUUCUUAGUCCUGUCUACUGUACAAGGAGGCAAGUGCUAUUAUUAUGCUCCCCACUUUACAGACGUUGAAACUCAUGAGGUUUAGAAAGCCCGAGUAAUGCGUGACCAGCCUGGCCAACACGGCGAAACCCCGUCUCUGCUAAAAAUACAAAACUUCACCGCGUAUGGUGGUGCAUGCCUGUAAUCCCAGCUACUGGGAAGGCUGAGGCAGGAGAAUCUCUUGAACCCAGUAGGCAGAGGUUGCACUGAGGCACUGAGUCGAGAUUGGGCCACUGCACUCCAGCCUGGGAGACAGAGUGAGACUCUGUCUCAAAAAAAAAACAAAACAAACAAAGAAAGCAAGCCCAAGGAACACAAGUCCACACAGCAGGACCUGACACCAACACCAACAGGUCGGAGCUGAGCUGUGCUCCUGGCUGCUACGUGGUUUGUGACUUCACCAACCUGAUGACCUGGUCUUUGGUUUCUUGAUACUUGAAGUCCUGGAUUUCUUACGGAAAAGACCUCCUUCAAAAGGCUAGAGGGUGCUUUCUCCUUCACGUCACAUGUAUGCUCUGAAGACUCAAAAUAUAGUAACAACUCCACAACUCAUUUCCUUCUACAUGAAAACUAUCACAGAGUAACAAUAAAUUAUGAAGAACUAUAGGAAUUUGUCAUUAAGUGAAGUAUCUUUUAAAACUCUGUUAUUAAAAAUGGCAUUUAAAUGAAUGAUUCAAUAAUAAACACCUAGCAUGCAUGGUGUAUGUUAUGAACAUAAGACUGCCACUGAGCUUGCAUUCUGAACUUGAACUUUUCGAGUGUUUUCUGCAUGCCAUUAAAUUUCUACAUGAUAUUUUUGGGCCUAAAAAGAUCAGUAGCCUUCAAAAGGUGACGAUUUAUUAUCACUAGGUAGAGGCCUUAUAAUUUUAUGCCUACAUCAAAAUCAAGAUUAUCCAGGAAGGCUUUUCACAAGGGGUAAAGAACAGGGUUUGAAAGAUGCAAACACGUUGGCAGAACACAUUCAUAGUUCCGUGGCUUGCCUGAUAGAUUGUGACUGUCCUGAAAUUAUAAUAAAGUGUCUGAACUAUUGAUACUUCUCCAGAA
Molecule: long non-coding RNA, 4828 nt
Filed under: Homo sapiens (human)
Lineage: Eukaryota; Metazoa; Chordata; Mammalia; Primates; Hominidae
Description: HSALNT0395320
Source: RNAcentral